AUUGAGCGCUGGCGGCAUGCCUUACACAUGCAAGUCGAACGGCAGCACGGGAGCAAUCCUGGUGGCGAGUGGCGAACGGGUGAGUAAAGUAUCGGAACGUGCCCAGUCGUGGUGGAUAGCGUAGCGAAAGUUACGCUAAUACCGCAUACGAUCUAUGGAUGAAAGCGGGGGAUCGCAAGACCUCGCGCGAUUGGAGCGGCCGAUAUCAGAUUAGGUAGUUGGUGGGGUAAAGGCUCACCAAGCCGACGAUCUGUAGCUGGUCUGAGAGGACGACCAGCCACACUGGGACUGAGACACGGCCCAGACUCCUACGGGAGGCAGCGGUGGGGAAUUUUGGACAAUGGGCGCAAGCCUGAUCCAGCCAUGCCGCGUGCAGGAUGAAGGCCUUCGGGUUGUAAACUGCUUUUGUACGGAACGAAAAGGUUUGGCUUAAUACGUUGAACCCAUGACGGUACCGUAAGAAUAAGCACCGGCUAACUACGUGCCAGCCGCCGCGGUAA
Molecule: ribosomal RNA, 500 nt
Filed under: uncultured bacterium
Lineage: Bacteria
Description: partial 16S ribosomal RNA
Rfam family: Bacterial small subunit ribosomal RNA
Source: RNAcentral